This 254-nucleotide long non-coding RNA is filed under the name Mytilus galloprovincialis (Mediterranean mussel). The record is from RNAcentral. Lineage: Eukaryota; Metazoa; Mollusca; Bivalvia; Mytilida; Mytilidae.
ACAUUGCUUUCUGUCAGUCAAUCAGGUGAGAACUACCAACACAUUGCUUUCUGUCAAUCAAUCACGAGAGAACUACGAACACAUUGCUUUCUGUCAAUCAAUCACGAGAGAACUACGAACACAUUGUUUUCUGUCAAUCAAUCAGGAGAGAACUACGAACACAUUGCUUUCUGUCAAUCAAUUACGAGAGAACUACGAACACAUUGCUUUCUGUCAAUCAAUCAGGAGAGAACUACGAACACAUUGCUUUCCAG